CCUACGGGAGGCAGCAGUGAGGAAUAUUGGUCAAUGGACGAGAGUCUGAACCAGCCAAGUAGCGUGAAGGAUGACUGCCCUAUGGGUUGUAAACUUCUUUUAUAUGGGAAUAAAACGUUCCACGUGUGGGAUUUUGUAUGUACCAUAUGAAUAAGGAUCGGCUAACUCCGUGCCAGCAGCCGCGGUAAUACGGAGGAUCCGAGCGUUAUCCGGAUUUAUUGGGUUUAAAGGGAGCGUAGGUGGAUUGUUAAGUCAGUUGUGAAAGUUUGCGGCUCAACCGUAAAAUUGCAGUUGAAACUGACAGUCUUGAGUACAGUAGAGGUGGGCGGAAUUCGUGGUGUAGCGGUGAAAUGCUUAGAUAUCACGAAGAACUCCGAUUGCGAAGGCAGUUCACUGGACUGCAACUGACACUGAGGCUCGAAAGUGUGGGUAUCAAACAGGAGUAGAUACCCCUGUAGUC
Molecule: ribosomal RNA, 460 nt
Filed under: uncultured bacterium
Lineage: Bacteria
Description: partial 16S ribosomal RNA
Rfam family: Bacterial small subunit ribosomal RNA
Source: RNAcentral